GUGAAUCAUCAAAUUUUUGAACGCAAAUUGCACUCUCUUCGGAGAUUAUGCCUGUUUGAGGGUCAGCCUAAAAAAAAAUCGACGUAGUCGCUGUCUCGCGGUGACAUUCGUCGGAAAUUGGGUCAUCUUAAACCUUUGGGUUUUUUAAGCGGCUUAAAAUUUUCUUUACGAUUCCACGGACGUUUCUAAGUUUUUACUUCUUACACACGUUUAAUGUAUCGAUCUUUAUUAGACUUUGCCGUUUCAUCGGAUCGCGUCCAUAAAUAUUUCGUUACCUGACCUCAUACCGGU
Molecule: unclassified non-coding RNA, 291 nt
Filed under: Glomus sp.
Lineage: Eukaryota; Fungi; Glomeromycota; Glomeromycetes; Glomerales; Glomeraceae
Description: partial contains 5.8S ribosomal RNA and internal transcribed spacer 2
Rfam family: 5.8S ribosomal RNA (bases 1-65)
Source: RNAcentral